Schistosoma mattheei is the source of this 46-nucleotide non-coding RNA. The record is from Rfam. Lineage: Eukaryota; Metazoa; Platyhelminthes; Trematoda; Strigeidida; Schistosomatidae.
GCACUGCUGACGAGUCCCAUACUAGGAUGAAAUGACCAUCCAGUGC